UCUGGCUACUUCCUGCUGAACUGGGAUGGUGAGGGGUAUUGGGCCUCCCCCUCUUGCUAGUCUCAAGCCUCAGAGUCCUUAUAGUGGGGUCCAUCUAAGGGUGAGUGAUGUUUUCUGUGGUCAGCUGCAGUUUUACAUGUAUUCACACA
This is a long non-coding RNA of Cervus elaphus (red deer), 149 nucleotides long. RefSeq lists it as uncharacterized. The transcript has 3 exons. The record is from RefSeq and is a predicted model, not a curated record. Lineage: Eukaryota; Metazoa; Chordata; Mammalia; Artiodactyla; Cervidae.